Molecule: ribosomal RNA, 381 nt
Filed under: uncultured eukaryote
Lineage: Eukaryota
Description: partial 18S ribosomal RNA
Rfam family: Eukaryotic small subunit ribosomal RNA
Source: RNAcentral
CAAUAGCGUAUAUUAAAGCUGUUGCGGUUAAAAAGCUCGUAGUUGGAUUUCUGUCAAGGACAACUGGUCCGCCCUCCGGGUGAGCACAUAGUUUGGUCUUGACAUCUUGCUGGAAGCUGUUGCUGCACUUGGCUGUGUGGCGCAGUGUUCAGCACUUUCACUUUGAGGAAAUUGGAGUGUUUCAAGCAGGCACAUGCCUUUGGACACAGUAGCAUGGAAUAAUUAGAUUGGGCUUUUGCUCCAAUUUGUCGGUUUCUGGAGCUGAGGUGAGUAUUAAUGGGGAUUGUUGGGGGCGUCCGAAUUUAGCCGUCAGAGGUGAAAUUCUUGGAUCUGCUAAAGACGGACAACUGCGAAAGCGUUUGCCCAGGAUGUUUUCAUUGA